This 890-nucleotide long non-coding RNA is filed under the name Homo sapiens (human). RNAcentral's name for it is "HSALNT0332882". Lineage: Eukaryota; Metazoa; Chordata; Mammalia; Primates; Hominidae. The record is from RNAcentral.
UUUCUCAGUUGAGUCCCUAUUUUCUCCUUUUUGGGUUCCUGGGAUAGCUAAUAUUUAUUGAGCACUCCGAUAAUCAAUAAUAGCAGUGACUUGAUUUAACUCUUACUCUCCUGUGCUUACCAACCCGCUGAUGCCUGCCUGUCUGCCUCCCUCCUCCAAUACUGUGGCUCCCUGAUGGCAGGGUUUUUUCCUUAUUCCACUUUGUACACUUGCUCCUAGAAUGCCUAGAGCCUAUGGGAUCUUAUGAAAUAUUUGCUAAAUGAACUUUAUUUUCUUGCUUUUACAUACAAGGAUGCUGAAGUUCGUGGAGGUCAAGCAACUUUCCCCAAAUCCAGUAAGAGGUAGAGCUGGGAUGCAAAUAGAGCACCCUGGCUCCUACUAGGCAUCACAUAUUAAUCAUCUUUCAAAUUAAGAGUCAUUGCUUAGCAUCACCAAUAUAUGGGAAAAAGGAGCUAAGAAGCAUCACUGAAUGCAUCCCAAAGUCCUGGCAUUGUUCCCUGAAGCACUUUUCAGUUAUGCCGUUUCAUUUCAUAACAUCCCUACAAAGUAGGCUUUACCACCUUUAUUUUAAAGACGAAGAAUUCAAUGUGACAGUGAGCUACUUAGAUGCACACGAUCCAGUACACAGCUUACUCUGCUUGCCAGAGAUUCUAUAAUGCUAUUCAGCAGCAAGAAAAAGCAAACCUAGCAUUAUACCAAGUGCCUGUGAUGGUGUCCAGUAUCUGAAAUUCUUGUACACUGCUGGUGGGGGUGGAAAUUGGUACAACCACUUUGGAUAACAGUUUGCGCAAUUAAAUAAAAUUGGAGAUUCAGUAUUUUGUGACUUACAAUUCCACCCCUAGAUGUGUUACCUAGAAACUCCUGCACCUACCUAUACAGCAGGAAACCUG